This is a long non-coding RNA of Panicum virgatum (switchgrass), 1099 nucleotides long. RefSeq lists it as uncharacterized. The transcript is spliced from 3 exons. The record is from RefSeq and is a predicted model, not a curated record. NCBI's taxonomy places the organism in Eukaryota, Viridiplantae, Streptophyta, Magnoliopsida, Poales, Poaceae.
UGCCCCGUCAGGCUUUUAUCCCCGUCCUCUCGUCUCUCGACGACGCCCACGCCUGCCUCGCCUCUGCACCGCCGCGGCGCCGCCGCGCUGAUGUCCGCCCCUGCGCCGCGCCUCCCCUGCCUCACGAGUCACGACAAACCAUGCCAACCUCCCGGUCCCGCACCCCCGCGCCGUGACCACCCGAUGCACGUCUCGGAACCCUAGCCGCGCUGCACGCGUCCGUGGCACGGACGUCGAGAAUCGCCGCCAUCCCUGUGCCCCAGCCCGCGUCGAAACCCGAGCGCCUCCCCUAUAAAGCCUCCACGCUGCAGUCAGCACCAAAGCCUAGACCUUCCCUUGGGCCUUCCCAAUCCGCCGGGAGCAACCAAGACGGAGGGAGACGCGGAAGAAGCACAGAGGAGAGGAGGAAGUAGGAUCUGGCGCCGCCGCUGAAGCCCGACGCCACCACUGUCGUCGUCAAGUCAAGGAGGAGCAGCCGACGGCAGGAAAGCCGAGGAGCACGUCGGGGAGAACGCCGCUUCGCCGAGCCUGCGCCCGUACCCCCUCCGUCGACGUAGCCGCGCAGCACAGCACCGCACCGAUCCUCCCGGCCUCGCCUCGUCACAGCGCCGCCUCUUCGUCCUCGAGCCGCUAGCCAUCUACUUCUAUAUAAGCUUGGCCAAGCAAGCAUUGUGUGGAACAUCUACGAUGACGCUUCCCCACGCCAGGGAUGCUAGGGCUCUGUUCGUGGUGGCCAUCACGAUCAUCAUGGUGGUGCUACUAUCACGUAGUGUUGUGCAAGAAAGCCACGCAAUAAGUGGUACAUUGAAAUGCAUCAAGAUGCCAAGCUGCACUACUGAAAAGUGCCAGCAGUUAUGUGUAUCACAGGGGCACGUCAACGGUAGGGCCUAUGAUUAUUAUUGCGCGCCGGGCGUUCCAGAGUGUUGUUGUGUAGACAUACAGUAAUAUAGUCAAUGGUUUGAGUGUUGACAGAUAAGCUUACAGUACUGCAGGCUCUAGCUCUACUGCUCUGUUUCUCCCAGUACAAUGUCUGAUACUUAUACUUCAAUCGGUCACUAAUAUGUUAGUUUGUUGUCCUUCUAAUUUGAUCUUGGUUCCA